Molecule: ribosomal RNA, 254 nt
Filed under: uncultured bacterium
Lineage: Bacteria
Description: partial 16S ribosomal RNA
Rfam family: Bacterial small subunit ribosomal RNA
Source: RNAcentral
CACGUAGGGACCAAGCGUUGUCCGGAUUUAUUGGGCGUAAAGAGCUCGUAGGCGGUUCCGUAAGUCGGGUGUGAAAACUCUGGGCUUAACCCAGAGCCUGCAUCUGAUACUGCGGUGACUAGAGUCCGGUAGGGGAGUGGGGAAUUCCUAGUGUAGCGGUGAAAUGCGCAGAUAUUAGGAGGAACACCGGUGGCGAAGGCGCCACUCUGGGCCGGUACUGACGCUGAGGAGCGAAAGCGUGGGUAGCAAACAGG